UUUAAUGGCCGCGGUAUUUUGACCGUGCAAAGGUAGCAUAAUCAUUAGUUUUUUAAUUGAAAGCUGGAAUGAAAGGUUGAAUGAGAAAAUAACUGUCUUUAUUAUAUUUAAUUAGAAUUUUAUUUUUAAGUUAAAAGGCUUAAAUAAUAUUUAUAGACGAGAAGACCCUUUAGAGUUUCAUAAAAAUUUAUUUUUAACUUUUUAGUAUUUAUAUUAUUAAUUAUAAAUUUUUAUUUGGUUGGGGUGAUUGAAAAAUUAAAUUAACUUUUUUUAUUAUUUUACAUUAAUAUAUGAAUAUUUGAUCCAUAAUUUAUGAUUAUAAGAUUAAAUUACCUAAGGGAUAACAGCGUUAUUUUUUUUGAGAGUUCAAAUCGAAAAAAAAGAUUGCGACCUCGAUGUUGGAUUAAAAUUAAAUUGUGGUGCAGGGGCUAUAACUUUGGGUCUGUUCGACCUUUAAAAUUUUACAUGAUCUGAGUUUAAACCGGUGUAAGCCAGGUUGGUUUCUAUCUUAAAUCAAUUGUAAUUUUUUAGUACGAAAGGACCAAAUAUUAUAUUUAUAGUAUAAAAAUUUGAAUAAAAAU
RNAcentral lists this ribosomal RNA (581 nucleotides) under Acanthogethes hercules. RNAcentral describes it as "partial large subunit ribosomal RNA". It matches the Rfam family "Bacterial large subunit ribosomal RNA", at positions 1923 to 2733 of the family's 2925-position model. Lineage: Eukaryota; Metazoa; Arthropoda; Insecta; Coleoptera; Nitidulidae. The record is from RNAcentral.